RNAcentral lists this ribosomal RNA (386 nucleotides) under uncultured bacterium. Its description in RNAcentral is "bacterial SSU rRNA". It matches the Rfam family "Bacterial small subunit ribosomal RNA", at positions 370 to 772 of the family's 1533-position model. The record is from RNAcentral.
AAUGGGGGAAACCCUGACGCAGCAACGCCGCGUGAAGGAUGAAGGUCUUCGGAUUGUAAACUUCUUUGAUGAGGGAAGAAAAAUGACGGUACCUCAAAAACAAGCCACGGCUAACUACGUGCCAGCAGCCGCGGUAAUACGUAGGUGGCAAGCGUUGUCCGGAAUUACUGGGUGUAAAGGGCGUGUAGGCGGGGAUGCAAGUCAGAUGUGAAAUUCCGAAGCUCAACUUCGGCGCUGCAUCUGAAACUGUAUCUCUUGAGUGCUGGAGAGGAAAGCGGAAUUCCUAGUGUAGCGGUGAAAUGCGUAGAUAUUAGGAGGAACACCAGUGGCGAAGGCGGCUUUCUGGACAGUAACUGACGCUGAGGCGCGAAAGCGUGGGGAGCAAA